GACGAGAAGCAAAACACACAAACACAAUUGAAAAUCAUUUCUAAUUUCACUCCCACUAACAAAUCCAUGUUUAUGGUGGUUACAACAAUUCUCCUCUUCUAUAUAAAUGUUCUUCAACAUUCACUAAACGCAAAAAAAAUCACCAGAAAACCUCUUUUAUUUCCAAUUACCAAUGUCCCAGCAGAUCCAUAUGUUUUGUUCUUCGUUACCAAAUCGAUUAUCGUUUUCAAGUGGAGCUCAGUAUUUCUCAGUAAAGAUUAUCCUUUCUGUUAUUUAAGCAUUCCAAUUUUCAUUAUCUUAUAAGGUUGCUUCUAUUUCCAUUUUUUUCCCAGAUAUUAUUGGAGAAAUUGUUGGUAUGAGUCAGAUUACUGAGAAAGAUUGUUGUAGACAGAAGUCAAAGCUGUUGGAUAUUCAGGUACGAGAUCUAAGGUUAGUGAAGUGUCUGGAGAGUUUCAUACUUCUUCAUGUCUCUCUUUAUAAAAUUUACAACAUAUUAUGGAUUCUCUUGCAGUAACACUAUUAUUUAAUGUUUAUUGCAGUGACACUAUCAUGGAGUGUACUUUAUGGGAGAAUCACACUGAAGAUGUAUAUUCCUAUGUUACCAAAAAAAACUGCAGGUCCUAUAAUAUUACUUGGGAGUCUUAUGAGGAUUAAAAAAUCUAAUGUGACACUAUCAUGGAAUGUACUUUAUGGGAGAAUCACACUGAAGAUGUAUAUAUUCCUAUGUUACCAAAAAAACUGCAGGUCCUAUAAUAUUACUUGGGAGUCUUAUGAGGAUCAAAAAAUUUAAUGGUAAAGUAUCUGUUCAAAAUUCUAGAUUCUAUACAAAGUUGUUUCUUGAUGGAGACCUAUAUGAGAUUGCUGAAUUUAAAAUGCAGUAAGUCUUUUCUUUGUUUAAUAUGUUUUCUUAAAAGCAAAAAUGUUGACAAUAUCUUCCCUUAUUUUCAACAAAACACUACAGGCUGGGCAAUAGGGGCUCAAAUGAUGUUCAUAGAGUUUUUCAACUCAUGACACCUGAUUUGAGCAACAAAGUUGAAGAUUCUUUCCCAUUAAGUAGCUGGGAAUCUAUUGAUCAGAUUACUAAAACUUCUCAGGAAAAUACUUGCGUUACUUUUGCAAGAAUUUUGGAAUUUUGAAAAGACAUUGAGUUUACCUAGAGCGGUGUUUACUCACGGCCAACUUUACGUCGCCGUGUCAAGAGUCAAAAGCAGAAGAGGUCUGAAGAUCCUAAUUGUUGAUGAGGAUGAGAACAGAGAUACAAAAACAACAAAUGUCGUUUUUAAGGAGAUUUUCCAACAGAUUAGAUAAUUGAUGAGUCAUAUGAGAAUGGCCGUCGAAUCUUGCAAAUCAACAUCAAGUGUGUUUAUGGCUUAUCCUUUAUCUUAUUUUAUUUUAGCUUUUGUUAUGUUAAAACAACUUAAAUUUAAUUUUCCAGUUACAUGAAUAGUAGGAUCAAACUAAAUGUUGUACUUUGUAGUGUUAAAUGUAUAUAUUUUCGUUAUUUUUUUUUAAUAUUAAGGAUGUAAUGAUAGUGUUUUUUCACAUCAAAGAAGGUGUAUAGUUAAAAAAAAAAAUAUACGUGCCCAAUACUCUUUGUUAUGGCCUCUGUUUUUUAUGCCUCUGCUAAUUCAGUUGUGGGAUGUUUGAGAUAAAUAUUUAAUUAAGAUACCAAAAACAAAAACAAAAAAUUCUUAUAACCAAAAUCCCGUAAUUUUCUAACACUAACACCACUAAGUACAAGCAAAGAUCAUGGCAAGAUUUAUUCUCCUAUUUAACUUCAGGUUAGUUGU
Molecule: non-coding RNA, 1790 nt
Organism: Camelina sativa (false flax)
Lineage: Eukaryota; Viridiplantae; Streptophyta; Magnoliopsida; Brassicales; Brassicaceae
Source: RefSeq, a predicted model, not a curated record